This 429-nucleotide ribosomal RNA is filed under the name Acidobacteriota bacterium. Its description in RNAcentral is "Acidobacteria bacterium partial 16S ribosomal RNA". It matches the Rfam family "Bacterial small subunit ribosomal RNA", at positions 355 to 776 of the family's 1533-position model. The record is from RNAcentral. Lineage: Bacteria; Pseudomonadati; Acidobacteriota.
UGGGGAAUUUUGGACAAUGGGGGAAACCCUGAUCCAGCCAUCCCGCGUGUGCGAUGAAGGCCUUCGGGUUGUAAAGCACUUUUGGCAGGAAAGAAACGUCAUGGGUUAAUACCCCGUGAAACUGACGGUACCUGCAGAAUAAGCACCGGCUAACUACGUGCCAGCAGCCGCGGUAAUACGUAGGGUGCAAGCGUUAAUCGGAGUUACUGGGCGUAAAGCGUGCGCAGGCGGUUCGGAAAGAAAGAUGUGAAAUCCCAGAGCUCAACUUUGGAACUGCAUUUUUAACUACCGGGCUAGAGUGUGUGAGAGGGAGGUGGAAUUCCGCGUGUGGCAGUGAAAUGCGUAGAUAUGCGGAGGAACACCGAUGGCGAAGGCAGCCGCCUGGAAUAACACUGACGCUCAUGCACGAAAGCGUGGGGAGCAAACAGG